This 995-nucleotide ribosomal RNA is filed under the name uncultured bacterium. RNAcentral's name for it is "bacterial SSU rRNA". It matches the Rfam family "Bacterial small subunit ribosomal RNA", at positions 356 to 1376 of the family's 1533-position model. The record is from RNAcentral.
GGGGGAUAUUGCACAAUGGGGGAAACCCUGAUGCAGCGACGCCGCGUGGAGGAAGAAGGUCUUCGGAUUGUAAACUCCUGUUGUUGGGGAAGAUAAUGACGGUACCCAACAAGGAAGUGACGGCUAACUACGUGCCAGCAGCCGCGGUAAAACGUAGGUCACAAGCGUUGUCCGGAAUUACUGGGUGUAAAGGGAGCGCAGGCGGGAAGACAAGUUGGAAGUGAAAUCUAUGGGCUCAACCCAUAAACUGCUUUCAAAACUGUUUUUCUUGAGUAGUGCAGAGGUAGGCGGAAUUCCCGGUGUAGCGGUGGAAUGCGUAGAUAUCGGGAGGAACACCAGUGGCGAAGGCGGCCUACUGGGCACCAACUGACGCUGAGGCUCGAAAGUGUGGGUAGCAAACAGGAUUAGAUACCCUGGUAGUCCACACCGUAAACGAUGAUUACUAGGUGUUGGAGGAUUGACCCCUUCAGUGCCGCAGUUAACACAAUAAGUAAUCCACCUGGGGAGUACGACCGCAAGGUUGAAACUCAAAGGAAUUGACGGGGGCCCGCACAAGCAGUGGAGUAUGUGGUUUAAUUCGACGCAACGCGAAGAACCUUACCAAGUCUUGACAUCCCUUGACGAACAUAGAAAUAUGUUUUCUCUUCGGAGCAAGGAGACAGGUGGUGCAUGGUUGUCGUCAGCUCGUGUCGUGAGAUGUUGGGUUAAGUCCCGCAACGAGCGCAACCCUUACUGUCAGUUACUACGCAAGAGGACUCUGGCAGGACUGCCGUUGACAAAACGGAGGAAGGUGGGGAUGACGUCAAAUCAUCAUGCCCUUUAUGACUUGGGCUACACGCGUACUACAAUGGCGUUAAACAAAGAGAAGCAAGACCGCGAGGUGGAGCAAAACUCAGAAACAACGUCCCAGUUCGGACUGCAGGCUGCAACUCGCCUGCACGAAGUCGGAAUUGCUAGUAAUCGUGGAUCAGCAUGCCACGGUGAAUACGUUCCCG